This 253-nucleotide ribosomal RNA is filed under the name uncultured bacterium. RNAcentral's name for it is "partial 16S ribosomal RNA". It matches the Rfam family "Bacterial small subunit ribosomal RNA", at positions 524 to 776 of the family's 1533-position model. The record is from RNAcentral.
UACGUAGGCAGCGAGCGUUGUUCGGAAUUACUGGGCGUAAAGAGUGUGUAGGCGGUGCUCCCAGUCUGUUGUGAAAUCUCCCGGCUUAACUGGGAGGGUGCAGCGGAAACUAGAGUGCUAGAGGGUGGGAGAGGUAAGCGGAAUUCCUGGUGUAGCGGUGAAAUGCGUAGAUAUCAGGAGGAACACCUGUGGUGUAGACAGCUUACUGGACCACUUCUGACGCUGAGACACGAAAGCGUGGGUAGCAACCAGG